RNAcentral lists this long non-coding RNA (7508 nucleotides) under Triticum aestivum (bread wheat). Its description in RNAcentral is "long non-coding RNA (TAES_LNC001988)". The record is from RNAcentral. Lineage: Eukaryota; Viridiplantae; Streptophyta; Magnoliopsida; Poales; Poaceae.
UUUUUUUCUUCUUUUCUGUUCGUCGUUUGUCUUUUUCGUCGGAUUUUCCACGGUUAUUUUCUGAUCGCGAUUUCUGAUCCAAUUUUCGUUUUAGUAUAACUUUUCGCUCGUUUAUCGGAAUCAGGCGAUUCAAGCGCCUGGAGUUUCGUCUCGAAACCCUCUUUCCGAAUAAUCAACUUAAACAAGUUUUUGCUACUGUAAAAUUUGACCUAGAUCCAGAUUACUAGAACGUAGUUGAUUUCUUUCGCCGUUUGAUUUCUUUUGCUUCGUUCGAUUUGAUUCUUUUUGCAAACCAGGGUUCUUAAGUUGAACUUUCUGGUUAGAUCUUCUAUUUGAGUUUUACCUGUGCAUUAGAUGAGUACUUAUUGUAUGCUUGUUUUUUUGUCUGUGAUAGAAUACCCGGAGUGCGCCGCCUGUUACUUCGAAUCUCUAGGUUUCGCGGAUCAUUAGCAAGGCAAGUAACACUUUGAUCAUACCUUUUCUACACCCCAGUUUUAUUGCAUUAGAUCAAUCCUCACACAUUGCAUGAUUAGGAUCUAAUUAAAUUGUGGGAUGGGAAGUAGAUGAGGUAGUACCUAUUACCUGUAUUGUUAUGAAACCUUUGGGAGUUACUUCUACGUUUGCUUAUUAUGCCAUGCUAUGCUAGUAGACGUGGAUUGGGUGAGUGAUAUCCAUGACAGAUGUGAGUUUGUUAAUUUUAAUGGUUUACUUAAGGUGGCAACUUAAAUACACAUCUGGGUGGAUUGAGGCACCUGGUUUCUAUCAGGACUUGCCUGUUUUUCUUUUGGACCGCCACCCAGGCUCAAAGGGAUCAUAAGAUUAUUCAUACUAGAAACUUCCGUGUGCAGCCACAAGCCAUUAUGGGCUCUGGCAUAGCUGAUUAAGUCGUGCGAACUCUUACAAGGUAGACUAGCAGAUGUAGGAGAAAGUAGGUGUACCGGUCUAUCCAACGUAAGGUGCUAGCGCUUCUGAAAGACUAUGUCUCGGUCAUCCGUUUCUCAAACACCAUGUAGUGCGAGAAAUCCAACGGAGGCGAUCGAGUCUUGUGCGGAAAAGUGCGCAAACCUCUGCAGAGUGUAACAAACUAAUCAUGGUUAGCCGUGUCCCCGGUUAUGGACAUCUUGAGUAUCUAGUACCUGGAUUAUCAUGUGAAUCUCAACAUGUUACUCUAAAGUUAAUAUUGUUGGGUUUUGUUUAAUGAUGAUGCUUAAUUGGGAUUGAGAAUGCUGUCAACCAUUCUCAAUGUUUAACAACCACCAUGAUAGUAAUUAAAUUUUAUUCCUUUGAAGUAGGGAAAAAUUGGCUUUACGCAAAACUGUAACCAUAGAGCUUUCCACCAGCCAAAUAUGCAUAUAGUAUAGCUAUUGCAUUUCAUUACUCUCUAUGUGUUACCUUGCCAGCAUAUUCCAUGUGCUGACCCGUUCUCGGGCUGCAACGUUAAUGUUGUAGACUUUUUAGACGAUGAUUAAGGAGUUUUUAGGUUGUGGUUCUAUACUCAGUGAUGCCGUUGGAGUUGAUGGACUCACUUAUCUUCCAAGCCUUCCGCUGUUAUCGUUAUUAGAUGGCCUUACGCCAUAUUUAUUGUAAUAAGUUCUCUUUUGAGACACUCGAUGUAAUAAGUGUGUGAUUGCUACUCUGCUAUAAAUCCUCCGAGUACUAUGUGGUGUCAGCAUUACUGAUCCAGGGAUGACACCGGAGCACAAAGAUCAGACUGUUUGAGGUCUGGUCGCUACAGAGAUGGUAUCAGAGCACACGCUGACUGUAGGACACGACCACUAAGCUAAAAGACCUAGAUCACUACUCACUCUCUUCUCUUCUAACUUCUCUUCUUUUCUACUCUUUAGGAUGGUAGAUGCAAGGAACAAGUUCACACAACCAGAUGAAGAUACACCCUUUAGACGCCACUUGAAGGAAGUCACUAGAUACCUUAACAUAGGAGUACCAAGCUUCACGGGAACCUACAACGCCACUUUACCCGAAGAAGAGCGCUGGAUGAUUCAAGUUCAAGUUCCAGGAAGGACGUUCAUGCCAGUCACUGAGCCCAUAGAAUUUUCUUUUGAUGCACCAACUUGGAGUCUAGGAAAGAGUAUGGCAGCUCACAUCGCCAUGGGACGCAUUGGAGAAGUCUACCGCAAGGAUCUCAAGGAUACUAUCUACCAGAUUUGCGGAUGCCGAGAUGAACACUGGGAGAUGAUCAGCACCAGGAAAGAUAGAUCAAUUGCAGCUUUUAUCCAGGAGUUAAACCAGCACAUUCGACGACAGGAGAAUCAGAUGUGCGCCGACAUGAUAGAUCUGAAGAAGGCUAAGACUAGAAUCAAGGAACUGGAGGAAGAACUCAAGGCUACACGAGAAGAUUAUGAAGAAGAAAUUGAAGUAUUGGUGGAGAAGAAUGACAACCUGAUCAAGAAGAUUGGAAUAUUUAUGGGAGACCCGACACCAGUAGAUGAAGACGAAGAACCCAAGGAGAUUAGCCCGGAAGACUACAUCAUCAUCGACGGCACUGACUCGGAAGCAGAUAGUAGCGAUGAUAACUAUGUUGAUGAAGCAGGAGCCGAUAUCAUGGAGUCUACAACCGUAGAAUAUUUCUAGUAGACCACCUCACCAGUAGUAGUAGUCCACCAUGUAAAUUUAGUAGUCCGAGCACUUUUGCGAUAGCUAGAUCGAUUGUAUGCCUUUGUUUGAUUGAAUGAAGUGAAUUGUUUGCUUUUGCCUCAUGUGCAUAUGGGUAGUGUUUUCUCUUUAGACCCCUCUACUCUUAUAUCUCAUCUUUUCUAAACCCUCAGAUGCCUCCGAGACGUGACCCCGGAUUUGCCUUUCCGCUGGAGCUCACCCAGUUGAUCCAGCAGCAGAACACCUUGAUGCAAUUGCUAGUUUAGAAUCAGAAUCAGGGGAACAACAACAACAACCCACCACCACCACCACCACCACCACCUAUUGACCACUUAGCCCGUUUUCUUAGGCUAAAUCCGCCGAUGUUUUCCAGUAGCACCGAGCCGAUAGUAGCAGAUGAUUGGCUCCGCAAGACAGCUAGGGAGUUGACCACAGCAGGAUGCACAGAUGCGGAGAAGGUGAAGUUUGCCGCACAUCAGUUAGAAGGACCCGCAACAUCAUGGUGGGAGAAUUUCACAGCCACCUUCCCAGUCGACACUGUCACAUGGGACCAGUUUCAGCAGGCUUUUCAUACUGCCCAUGUUUCAUCAGGAGUAAUGGCCAUGAAGAAGCGUGAGUUUCAUAACUUAUGCCAAGGAGGACGGACAGUUGGCCAGUAUGUGGAGGAGUUUAGUAAGCUAGCACGUUAUGCCCCAGAUGACGUUGCUACGGAUGCAGCUAAGCAGGAGAAAUUCCUGGAAGGACUGAAUGUUGAGUUGAGUAUGCAGUUGAUGGUAGCCACCUUCAACAACUACCAGGAGUUGGUAGAUCGUGCUCUUAUGAUUGAAGGGAAGCAGCAGCAAAUUGAGAACCGCAAGAGGAAGUACCGGUGGUAAAGGAUUUUCCUGAUGUAUUUCUAGAAGAGUUGCCAGGCAUGCCACCAGAUAGAGAUAUUGAGUUUUUGAUUGAGCUUUUGCCAGGCACUUGGCCAAUAUCGAAGAGAUCAUACAGGAUGCCCGCAAAGGAUUUGGUGGAAAUUAAGAAGCAGAUUAAGGAGUUACUGGAAAAAGGUUACAUUCGCCCAAGUUCUUUGCCUUGGGGAUCACCAGUACUUCUAGUGGAGAAGAAGGAUGGAUCGUUAAGAAUGGUUGUUGACUAUCGAGGACUGAACGAAGUAACAAUCAAAAACAAGUACCCACUACCAAUGAUCAAUGAUCUGUUUGAUCGAUUGCAAGGGGCUAAAGUUUUUUCCAAGAUCGAUUUGCGAUCAGGGUACCAUCAGUUGAAGAUUCGAGAACAGGAUAUUCCUAAGACAACAUUCACCACAAGAUAUGGACUGUAUGAGUAUACCGUUAUGUCAUUUGGACUGACUAACGCGCCUGCCUAUUUUAUGAAGAUGAUGAACAAAGUGUUUAUGGAGUUUUUGGAUAAGUUCAUCGUAGUGUUCAUCGAUGAUAUCUUGGUUUAUUCAAAGAAUGAAGAGGAACAUAAGGAGCAUUUGCGUUUGGCACUUGGAAAGCUCAGAGAACAUCAAUUAUAUGCCAAGUUCAGCGAAUGUGAGUUUUGGUUGAAGGAAGUAGGAUUCCUCGGACACAUUAUAUCUGGAGAAGGUAUAGCUGUUGAUCCCACUAAAGUUGAUACCGUGACCAAGUGGGAAGCACCAACAACAGUUGGAGAGAUCCGGAGUUUUCUUGGACUCGCAGGAUACUACCGGAGGUUUAUUGAGAACUUUUCAAAGAUUGCGAAGCCUUUGACGGAGUUGUUGAAGAAGGAUACUAAGUUCAAAUGGACUGAGGAGUGUGAGGCUAGUUUCCAGGAGUUGAAGAAACGUUUGGUUACCUCACCCGUAUUGAUUCUGCCAGAUCAGACCAAGGAUUAUGAGGUGUAUUGUGACGCUUCACGUCGAGGACUUGGAGCAGUGCUUAUGCAGGAAGGAAGAGUUGUUUCGUAUUCUUCACGACCACUGAAGCCUCACGAAUUGAAUUAUGCCACGCAUGAUUUGGAGUUAGCAGCCGUAGUGCAUGCAUUGAAGACGUGGAUACAUUUCCCCAUUGGAAAUCAUUGUGAGGUGUACACGGAUCACAAGAGUUUGAAGUACAUUUUCACGCAGAAGGAGUUGAACCUCAGACAAAGGAGAUGGUUGGAGCUCAUCAAGGAUUAUGAUAUGAGAUUGCAUUACCAUCCCGGAAAGGCUAAUGUAGUAGCUGACGCAUUAAGCCGUAAGAGUCAUGUCAAUACGUUAAUGACGGGAGAAAUACCCAAGGAGUUAGCAGAAAACCUUCGUGAGCUAUGUUUGGAGAUAGUUCCGAGAGGCUAUGUGGCAGCAUUGGAGAUUCAGUCAACAUUGAUGGAUAAAAUCAGAGAGGCUCAGAAAUCUGACAAGGAGAUUGCUUCUAUAAAAUAGAAAAUGAGCCAAGGAAAAGCUAAAGGAUUUCGUGAGGAUGAGCACGACACCCUAUGGUUUGAAGACCGUGUUUAUGUACCCAAUGACCCGGAGAUCAGAAAGUUGAUUCUGCAAGAGGCACAUGAUUCACCGUAUUCGAUUCACCCAUGAAAUACCAAGAUGUAUUUGGAUUUGAAGGACAUUUUCUGGUGGAUCGGAAUGAAGAAGGAUAUUGCGGAGUAUGUAGCAGUUUGUGACAUAUGUUAGAGAGUAAAAGCAAAGCAUCAGAAGCCAGCAGGAUUGUUGCAACCAUUGCUGAUACCCGAAUGGAAGUGGGAUAAGCUAGGCAUGAAUUUUAUCACGGGAUUACCAAGGACUCGUUCAGGCUAUGACUCGAUUUGGGUUGUAGUCGAUCGAUUGACAAAAGUAGCUCAUUUCAUCCCAGUAAAGACCACUUACACCAGUGCUAAGUUGGCAAAGAUAUACAUGACCAGGAUCAUAUAUUUGCAUGGAGUUCCGAGGAGUAACGUAUCAGAUAGAGGAACCCAGUUUACCUCAAAGUUCUGGAAGCAGUUGCAUGAGACUUUGGGUACUAGGCUAGAAUUUAGUACAGCUUUUCAUCCGCAGACAGAUGGACAGACCGAGAGAGUCAAUCAGAUUUUGGAGGAUAUGCUGAGAGCUUGUGCGCUAGAUUAUGGAUCUAGUUGGGACGAUAAUUUGCCAUAUGCAGAGUUCUCUUACAAUAAUAGCUAUCAGACUAGUUUGAAGAUGGCCCCUUUAGAAGCUUUAUACGGAAGGAGGUGCAGGACACCGUUGUCAUGGGACGAAGUUGGAGACCGCCAGUUGUUUGGACCAGAUCUGAUUAAAGAGUCUGAACAGAAGGUGAAGUUGAUUCGUGAUAGGCUCAAGGUAGCCCAGUUCAGGCAGAAGAGCUACGCAGAUUCUAAACGCAAGGAGACAGUUUACGAAGUCGGAGAUAGAGCUUAUCUUCGAGUAUCCCCGCUUCGAGGGAUUAAGCGCUUUGGAGUUAAGGGGAAGUUAGCGCCACAAUUUGUAGGGCCAUAUCGAGUUUCGGAGCGUAUGGGAGAAGUGGCCUACAAGUUGGAAUUGCCCGAAGGAUUGUCAGGAGUUCAUGAUGUGUUCCACGUUUCUCAGUUGAAGCAUACCUUUGAGAGACACAGUGCCAUUGGAAACAAUUCAGUUGGAUAACAAUUUGACCUAUGAGGAGAAACCAGUCAAGAUUCUCGAGUUUGCCAGCCGAGUCACUCGCAGCAAGGUUAUCAAGUUUUGCAAAGUUUAGUGGAGCCACCACACGAAGGAUGAAGCCACCUGGGAACGAGAGGAAGAUUUGCUCAAAGACCACCCUCACCUAUUUUCUAGCCAACCCGAAUCUCGAGGGCGAGAUUCAUCUUAAGGGGGGUAGGUUUGUAACAUCCCAAAUUUUCAAUUUGGAAUGUUAUACAUUAGGUCAUCAUGCAUAUCAUAUUUUAUUUUGCUUUUGGUUUUGAUCCUAGAAAAUCCUAAGCAACUCAAGGACCCACGGAGAGAGUUGGGGAUUUCGUUAUUUACAUAUUUGAGUUUUCUCAAAUUGUGUAAACAGGAUCGUUUGAUUUUAUUUAUUUUAUCAUCAAUUAUUUCUAUUAGAAAAAUAUGAGAGAGGGAAUAAAAUGACUUUCCCAAAAUAUAGAAAUAUUGAGGAUUUAAUAAAAAAAUCAAAUAAGAUUUAUUUCGGAGUUUUUCGGUAUUUUUAUUUGAAUUUAGGAAAAAUACGCGUGUUUCAAAAUUGCAUUUAGGGCCCAAUAAAAUGUUCACUUCAUCAGGCUUGAUUUUAGAAACCCGGCAAAAUUUAUUUCGUGAUUUUUGGAGUCAGUUUAGUAUUUCUUUUUAUUUUUUUCCGAGUGUAAUUAUUUAAAAAAACGAAACCGACUUUGGGCCGUACCCGAGCGGGACUCCGCUCGGGGGUGCCUUUAUAUAGCGAAGCGCCCGAGCCCCAGCCCACAGCCCCGCCCCAAACCCUAGCCUAGCCGCCACCGCCGCCGCCGCCGGAGCGCGCGCCGCCCGAGGUUCGCCGCCGCCGCCUCGAUUUCCGUGCAGUUUUUUUUUAAAAAGGGAAAAAUAUAUUUUUUUUCUUCUUUUCUAUUCGUCGUUUUCUUUUUCGUCGGAUUUUCCGCGGUUAUUUUCUGAUCGCGAUUUCUGAUCCGAUUUUCGUUUUAGUAUAACUUUUCGCUCGUUUAUCGGAAUCAGGCGAUUCAAGCGCCUGGAGUUUCGUCUCGAAACCCUCUUUCCUAAUAAUCAACUUAAACAAGUUUUUGCUACUGUAAAAUUUGACCUAGAUCCAGAUUACUAGAACGAAGUUGAUUUCUUUCGCCGUUUGAUUUCUUUUGCUUCGUUCGAUUUGAUUCUUUUUGCAAACCAGGGUUCUUAAGUUGAACUUUCUGGUUAGAUCUUCUAUUUGAGUUUUACCUGUGCAUUAGAUGAGUACUUAUUGUAUGCUUGUUUGUUUGUCUGCGAUAGAAUACCCGGAGUGCGCCGCCUG